UGCAGUCGUACGCACUGGCCCAACUGAUUGNUGGUGCUUGCACCUGAUUGACGAUGGAUCACCAGUGAGUGGCGGACGGGUGAGUAACACGUAGGUAACCUGCCCCGGAGCGGGGGAUAACAUUUGGAAACAGAUGCUAAUACCGCAUAACAACAAAAGCCACAUGGCUUUUGUUUGAAAGAUGGCUUUGGCUAUCACUCUGGGAUGGACCUGCGGUGCAUUAGCUAGUUGGUAAGGUAACGGCUUACCAAGGCGAUGAUGCAUAGCCGAGUUGAGAGACUGAUCGGCCACAAUGGAACUGAGACACGGUCCAUACUCCUACGGGAGGCAGCAGUAGGGAAUCUUCCACAAUGGGCGCAAGCCUGAUGGAGCAACACCGCGUGAGUGAAGAAGGGUUUCGGCUCGUAAAGCUCUGUUGUUGGAGAAGAACGUGCGUGAGAGUAACUGUUCACGCAGUGACGGUAUCCAACCAGAAAGUCACGGCUAACUACGUGCCAGCAGCCGCGGUAAUACGUAGGUGGCAAGCGUUAUCCGGAUUUAUUGGGCGUAAAGCGAGCGCAGGCGGUUGCUUAGGUCUGAUGUGAAAGCCUUCGGCUUAACCGAANAAGUGCAUCGGAAACCGGGCGACUUGAGUGCAGAANAGGACAGUGGAACUCCAUGUGUAGCGGUGGAAUGCGUAGAUAUAU
This 686-nucleotide ribosomal RNA is filed under the name Limosilactobacillus reuteri. RNAcentral describes it as "bacterial SSU rRNA". It matches the Rfam family "Bacterial small subunit ribosomal RNA", at positions 56 to 699 of the family's 1533-position model. The record is from RNAcentral. Lineage: Bacteria; Bacillati; Bacillota; Bacilli; Lactobacillales; Lactobacillaceae.